UGAUGUGAGGGCCAUGUGGCUGCGACACCAGUCAACCCUUUGAUAGCAAGGGUUGAUCCAGCUCAUCUGGCUGGCUACAUUGGUGUCCCCUUCCUCCUUCUGAAGUUCAUGAUGAUCUUGCCUGAGAGAGGAGGACCAUUCUUGGGUCAAGGUAUACGAGUAGCUGCUACGUGGCUAGAACCUCCAAACAAGACCUCUAGAAAGCACCAGCCCUUAGGCUUCCUUUUUCUUCCAAAGGACCAGAUCCAAGUCACCCAAACUUU
RNAcentral lists this small nuclear RNA (263 nucleotides) under Urocitellus parryii (Arctic ground squirrel). RNAcentral's name for it is "7SK RNA (ENSUPAG00010009094.1)". It matches the Rfam family "7SK RNA". From Rfam's summary of the family: 7SK was discovered as an abundant small nuclear RNA in the mid-70s but a possible function has only recently been suggested. Two independent studies have found that 7SK RNA binds the CDK9/cyclin T complex (known as elongation factor P-TEFb). Lineage: Eukaryota; Metazoa; Chordata; Mammalia; Rodentia; Sciuridae. The record is from Rfam by way of RNAcentral.